Molecule: long non-coding RNA, 1635 nt
Filed under: Cyanistes caeruleus (blue tit)
Lineage: Eukaryota; Metazoa; Chordata; Aves; Passeriformes; Paridae
Description: lncRNA (ENSCCEG00000022161.1)
Source: RNAcentral
GUUUCAGAUGAUGGUAUUGUGGAUUGCCUGCUGCAGUUCACAGCACUGAGAGACUGACAGAACACAGGUGAAGCUGAGUGGAGCAGAGGAAAGUGGUGCACAAGAGAAGGUGUCCUGAAGUGCUGGGCUGUGUGUGAGCACUCCAGAACUGCUCUGGGGAGUAGUGCCUCAGCUUUGUGCUCAGUACAGGAUGAUUCAAAAUGCAAACAGGAUAUGGGAUGUUGCUGGCCAGGAUGAAGGAACCAAAACUGAGACUGCUGAGGCCUUGAAGACACCAGGAGAUUUUAAUGGAUGUGGACGGUCUCCCCUGGGGCCUCCAUCCACACCCUCUGCUGGGUGUCAGAGCUGAAUAAGGAAUGAGAGCUGUGCAGCCUGAGAUGGAAAAGCCUGAUAGAAAGAGGGGGAAAGAUGCCUCUGCUGAUAGUGUCACCAGAUAGGUGUCAUCUGUGAAGCAGAGUGAAACUGCAAUCAGCUACCUCCUUGACACCCUCUAAAUUAUUCUCUUGUACUAGGACAUCUUACCCCACCUCUAAGCUCACAGGCAGGUUAAAACAAAUAAUGAUAUUUCAACUAGUCUGACAUACUCAUGGGAUUGAGCAAGAGGUGGGGACAGUGAGUGACGAGGUGUUGAGUGGGGAAUCCUGUUUUAGAAGUGAGCUUUAUGCCUUACUAAUACCUGCUUGCUGCAGGCAGCCUCUGGUUUCUGUGCCCAUGGUCUUGACCAGAAUGGGAGUGUCAGAGGGGUUCUGGCACCAUGAAUACUGGCUGCCACCUGGAGCUAUCUGGGAAGACUUGAAGCAGUCUGCAGACAUAUACUACCCACAGCCUCAGCACCUUCUACUCUGCAUCCCUGUUAUUGAUCUUUGUCCAAUGCAUCUUUGAAAGGGCAUUGGGGGUGAGCAACAAGUGGAGAUUCUAAGUUCAGACCAAUGCCACACUGGAAGGCUUCUACAUUCUGCUGGGCAGAGCCCCAAAGAAGGUGAGUGUCCCAUUCUCCCAAGAGCCCAGGCAAGCAACACCUUCUCUCUGUCUCUACCCCAGGCCAGGCCAACCAGCCUCACAAGCAAGGUUACUGUUAACCACCCUUCCAGGGAAGAGAUGUAUAAGCAGAUAUUGCAGCAGCUUCCAACAUGUUCAACAGCUGCAAUCGCAGCACCUCCUGACCUGUUGCAUGUCAAACACAGCAGCUGCUGUGAGAGCUGCUUGCUCCGGCAGGAAGGCAGCCACUACUACCUCUUCAGGUAGAGUCUAUUAAGGCUGCUUAUUUUGGCAGAACCGCAAGUCCUUCAGAAUCACAGAAUCAUUUAGGCUAGAAAAACUCUCUGAGGUCACCAAGUCAAACCAUUCUCCCAGCACUAUCAAGGCCACAUCUACACAUCUACAUCUACACAUGUUUUAAAUCUCUUCAAGAAUGGGGACUCCACCACUGCCCUAGACAGUCUGUGCCAGGGCUUGCAGUUUUUCCAAUCUAAACCUCCCCUGGCACAACCUGAGGCUAUUUCAUCUUGUUCUACUUUCUCUCAGGGAGUUGUAGAGUGAGAAGGUCUCUCCUGAGCCUCCUUUUCACCAGGCUGAGCCUCCCGCAGCUCCCUCAGCUGCUCUGUAUCAGCCUUGUGCUCCAGACUCUUCCCCAGC